UUUCGGGGUGGAUUAGUGGCGAACGGGUGAGUAACACGUGGGCAAUCUGCCCUUCACUCUGGGACAAGCCCUGGAAACGGGGUCUAAUACCGGAUAACACUCUGUCCCGCAUGGGACGGGGUUAAAAGCUCCGGCGGUGAAGGAUGAGCCCGCGGCCUAUCAGCUUGUUGGUGGGGUAAUGGCCUACCAAGGCGACGACGGGUAGCCGGCCUGAGAGGGCGACCGGCCACACUGGGACUGAGACACGGCCCAGACUCCUACGGGAGGCAGCAGUGGGGAAUAUUGCACAAUGGGCGAAAGCCUGAUGCAGCGACGCCGCGUGAGGGAUGACGGCCUUCGGGUUGUAAACCUCUUUCAGCAGGGAAGAAGCGAAAGUGACGGUACCUGCAGAAGAAGCGCCGGCUAACUACGUGCCAGCAGCCGCGGUAAUACGUAGGGCGCAAGCGUUGUCCGGAAUUAUUGGGCGUAAAGAGCUCGUAGGCGGCUUGUCACGUCGGAUGUGAAAGCCCGGGGCUUAACCCCGGGUCUGCAUUCGAUACGGGCUAGCUAGAGUGUGGUAGGGGAGAUCGGAAUUCCUGGUGUAGCGGUGAAAUGCGCAGAUAUCAGGAGGAACACCGGUGGCGAAGGCGGAUCUCUGGGCCAUUACUGACGCUGAGGAGCGAAAGCGUGGGGAGCGAACAGGAUUAGAUACCCUGGUAGUCCACGCCGUAAACGU
This 715-nucleotide ribosomal RNA is filed under the name Streptomyces microflavus. Its description in RNAcentral is "bacterial SSU rRNA". It matches the Rfam family "Bacterial small subunit ribosomal RNA", at positions 80 to 809 of the family's 1533-position model. Lineage: Bacteria; Bacillati; Actinomycetota; Actinomycetes; Kitasatosporales; Streptomycetaceae. The record is from RNAcentral.